This is a long non-coding RNA of Gambusia affinis (western mosquitofish), 1590 nucleotides long. RefSeq lists it as uncharacterized. The transcript is spliced from 3 exons. NCBI's taxonomy places the organism in Eukaryota, Metazoa, Chordata, Actinopteri, Cyprinodontiformes, Poeciliidae. The record is from RefSeq and is a predicted model, not a curated record.
CAUUAGUAGUAACCAUGGAAACAAAGCCCCGCCAUAACAUCUACGGAAAAAACUGGUUAGCAUUUCGUCUUCUGUACGUUUUUAAUGCCGCUACGGUGUAAGGGGAGACGCUGUUUAUGACAGUGACAUAAAUCACGUGGUGGCAAGUCGGUAAAUUGAUCAACACAUCAUGAGGACCGCAGGAAGUACAGGCUGCUGAACAUUUCUCACCUGGCUAUGGAGAACUAUUUGAUCUGACAUGGGGGAAAAUCUGAGUGGAAUACACAAAGGAAACUACUGUUAUUGCCAGCCAGUCCCUGAAAGCCUCCUGUGGGCAUCAGCUCCAGCAGCAUGGAAGACAACUUCUGAUCCAACUUUUCCACAGAGCAAGCCUGAAGAGCCUGCAAUGUAAACAAAGUUUAAAAUGUUGUGUUGAGUUGUGACUCAAAAAGCAACUCUUCUAUUAAGGGCAGAUGUGACUCCCAGAAUGAAUCUUGGAUUGGAUGCACCAACUCAUAAAACAGUGGUAGUGGUAUUGGAAAUCCAUUUAGAGAGCAAAUAAAAAUGCCAACUUUAAUUUGACCAGGCCAGCAUCAAAGUCCUGCCUCACCUUUAGUUUGUAAAUGCUUCCUCUUUCAUUGCUUAAGUUUGCUGCUUCAGCAAAACUGACAUAAUCAAAUUAAGUGUUCAACACUGAAAGACAGAUGUAACCCGUUCUCCCCUCAAUCCAGGAGAAAACAGCACUUUGUCUAAAUUCUGUUUUCUUCUUUUACUUUUAUUUAUUUUUUUGUUAUUUGCAUAUUUCCACCGACUGUAAAUCAGCUGUAAGGGAGUUGUGAAAUAGCUUCAUGAGGAUUAUAUUUAAAUGUGUGUGUGUCCUACAAAAGUUGUUUAAGAUAUGAAAGUUGCACUGAAGCAACCUCCUGCAUGACCAAGCUAAUAAUUUACUUUGGAUAUUUUGGAUACAAUAUUUUUAUAUGACUUGUGUGUUUGUUUGUGAUAAGUUUCAAAUUGAAAAAAAUCUAACAAAAACUUUACUAUUGGUCUGAUGGUACAAGUGUGCAUGUUUCACUUCCAGCUCUUAGUUUUUAGCAUGCAGUAUUAGAUCAAACUGUACUGGUCAGAAAUGUAUUAAUAAUGGGAAACAACAAUACUAAAGUUUUAAUUCAGGAAGAGUUCAGAAAUCAAUAUUUGGUGGAAUAACCAGGAGGUUCAGUUCAGUGGGCUCUUCAUUUUCUCCAGAGCUGUAUAAGGACUUGAUUACCCAAAAUCCACGCAAGAAGCCUGUUGCAGAUUUUAGUAAGUAAGUAAACUUUAUUUAUGUAGCAUUUCUUACAGGUCAGAAAGUGCUUUUGCAAAUAUAAGACGUAAAUAAAGAUCUGCUCUCAGUAUUUCCACAGCCAGCCUGGACAAAAGCCUCACUAUUUCCCCUCAAUCCAAGCAUUGAUAAUUGGUCAGACUCAACUAUAUAUCGUCUAUCAAAAAUCGAUAUAUGGCACAGACGGCAUUAUUAUAAUUAAAAUAAUGCGUUUAAAUGAAAAUUAUGCUUCCAGAAUUCUCAUACUGGCCCACAGCUAGUCUAAAAUAUGUUCUUCUUUAAAUAAAAGGCAG